This is a long non-coding RNA of Sapajus apella (tufted capuchin), 1180 nucleotides long. RefSeq lists it as uncharacterized. Lineage: Eukaryota; Metazoa; Chordata; Mammalia; Primates; Cebidae. The transcript has 2 exons. The record is from RefSeq and is a predicted model, not a curated record.
UGUUACUAGAAUUUGACCUAAAUAUUUGGAGAGAAACUAGAAUAUAUCCAAUGGAAGCAGACUAAUAUAGAAACAUGAGUACUGUGGUAUUUGAGGUCCUCAAUCACCCAUUUUUUGACCUUUCGCCAACUUUCUAGGCUGUAAUCGUCCCAUCUGUGAAAUGAUGAGCAUGACCUCAUCAUUACCAUAGUUGCUGUGAUGUAAUUCAUCUUUAAAACUUAAUGUCUGUCUAAAUUGAAAGCAUCCACAUGUCAGUUUCUACUUAGAAAUUUGUGGUUCUUAUAUUCUUAUAGCUUGAAGGAUCAUAUUUUCUUGCCAUUUAUGUUUAAAAUGAUGUGUAAUCUGGAGACACAGUUUUUCCAGUAGUGAGCAAUAUAGGUAGAAAUCUGGGUACAGGCUGCAUAUAUUUUUACAUUGUUAAUGGUUGAAUUGAAGAGGUUUCAAAUUUCAAAAUCUCUUUACAUUAGAAAUACUCUUGGCAUAGGAGUAUGGCAUAUUACAUAUUGUGAACUAAAGGCAUAUGAAGAAAUUAUCUGUUUAACAAAGUAAUUUUACUGGAAGUAACUCAAAAUUAUGAAUAUUAUAAUUCCAAAUUUAUCUCAGCAGGUUAGCAUGAUUACAUAGUGACAUUUUGUUUUAUAAUGAUACAGGAGAUCAGGUAGGCUGUACUUACCGCUGUUUCAUAGCUAGUGAGAUAAAUUAUUUUCUGAAAAUCUCAGUUGGGCCAAUCUCUGAGCCAGAUAUGCUAACUUUUGCCUUUGGGGUUAUGUGAUUUACUGGGGUCAGAUUAGUCAGGUGUUUGUAUAGUAGUCAUUUUUACUAUAUGCUGUGUGGACAAAUUGAAAAGAAAGGACUCAAUUUUUUUCUUCCCUUAAAUCUAAUUGGAAAUGCAAUACAUGAACCUAAGACAGAACAUUUUACUCAGCAAUAUAUUAAUUAGUGGCAAUUUAAAUAUUUGAUGAUUGCUAGGUAGCAAAGAAUUCUCUAGAUCCUGAGGAAUUUAUGGAGAAAAGGUGUUUCAAAUUGGGUUUUUUGAGGAUGAGGAAUGUAUAGAGGCAAAGAUACCUAGGCAGAAGGUAUGCUUGCUUACAAGUGAUAGAGGCAGAAGAUAUGCUUGCUUACAAGUGAUAGAGGUAGGAGCUUUAGUAAACUCAUUCUUUUCUUCUUCAUUCUGAGAAUU